UACGAAGGGGGCUAGCGUUGUUCGGAAUUACUGGGCGUAAAGCGCACGUAGGCGGAUAUUUAAGUCAGGGGUGAAAUCCCAGAGCUCAACUCUGGAACUGCCUUUGAUACUGGGUAUCUUGAGUAUGGAAGAGGUAAGUGGAAUUCCGAGUGUAGAGGUGAAAUUCGUAGAUAUUCGGAGGAACACCAGUGGCGAAGGCGAGUCCCUGGACAACACCUGACACUGAGGCACGAAAGCCGGGGGAGCAAACAGG
RNAcentral lists this ribosomal RNA (253 nucleotides) under uncultured bacterium. Its description in RNAcentral is "partial 16S ribosomal RNA". It matches the Rfam family "Bacterial small subunit ribosomal RNA", at positions 524 to 776 of the family's 1533-position model. The record is from RNAcentral.